This 924-nucleotide ribosomal RNA is filed under the name uncultured Bacteroidota bacterium. RNAcentral's name for it is "bacterial SSU rRNA". It matches the Rfam family "Bacterial small subunit ribosomal RNA", at positions 1 to 916 of the family's 1533-position model. The record is from RNAcentral. Lineage: Bacteria; Pseudomonadati; Bacteroidota.
GGAUCCAGACUUUGAUUCUGGCUCAGGAUGAACGCUAGCUACAGGCUUAACACAUGCAAGUCGAGGGGAAACGAUAGAGAAAGCUUGCUUUUUCUAGGCGUCGACCGGCGCACGGGUGAGUAACGCGUAUCCAACCUGCCCAUCACUUGGGGAUAACCCUGCGAAAGUAAGACUAAUACCCAAUGAUAUCUCUAGAAGACAUCUGAAAGAGAUUAAAGAUUUAUCGGUGAUGGAUGGGGAUGCGUCUGAUUAGCUUGUUGGCGGGGUAACGGCCCACCAAGGCGACGAUCAGUAGGGGUUCUGAGAGGAAGGUCCCCCACAUUGGAACUGAGACACGGUCCAAACUCCUACGGGAGGCAGCAGUGAGGAAUAUUGGUCAAUGGGCGAGAGCCUGAACCAGCCAAGUAGCGUGCAGGAAGACGGCCCUAUGGGUUGUAAACUGCUUUUAUAAGGGAAUAAAGUGGGAGUCGUGACUCCUUUUGCAUGUACCUUAUGAAUAAGGACCGGCUAAUUCCGUGCCAGCAGCCGCGGUAAUACGGAAGGUCCGGGCGUUAUCCGGAUUUAUUGGGUUUAAAGGGAGCGUAGGCCGGAGAUUAAGCGUGUCGUGAAAUGUAGACGCUCAACGUCUGCACUGCAGCGCGAACUGGUUUCCUUGAGUACGCACAAAGUGGGCGGAAUUCGUGGUGUAGCGGUGAAAUGCUUAGAUAUCACGAAGAACUCCGAUUGCGAAGGCAGCUCACUGGAGCGCAACUGACGCUGAAGCUCGAAAGUGCGGGUAUCGAACAGGAUUAGAUACCCUGGUAGUCCGCACGGUAAACGAUGGAUGCCCGCUGUUGGUCUGAAUAGGUCAGCGGCCAAGCGAAAGCAUUAAGCAUCCCACCUGGGGAGUACGCCGGCAACGGUGCAACUCAAAUGAAUUGACGG